This is a long non-coding RNA of Homo sapiens (human), 728 nucleotides long. RefSeq lists it as uncharacterized. Lineage: Eukaryota; Metazoa; Chordata; Mammalia; Primates; Hominidae. The record is from RefSeq and is a predicted model, not a curated record. The transcript is spliced from 3 exons.
AGGGUGCUGACCAGCGGACCAUCUUCCAUGGCCUCUGCCGCGCUGGAGCUGCUGCGGGGCUGUCCUGCCAGCUUGUGCUCCCGCCCCGAAGCGUCCUCCUCCACUGGCGACACACGCACUGAAGCCCGAGUCUUCCCGCUGGGGAGAUGGAAGGGAGUCAAGGAUGUUGCCAUGUAUGUGCCAUCUCUGCCCUAAGCCAAUAUCAUGAAGAAAUCAACAAGAGGUGGAAUAAACUGAGCAAUUCAUCACCAUAUUAAGCUGGAUAUUCCUGUUUAGUAAAUAUCUUUCCCUAGCUGCGUCUUCAUCAGGAGUAGAAUCCACAUCAAGAAAAGAUGUUCUUGGCUCAUUCAGAAGAAACAACACCUCCUUCAUUCAAGUUUGAUUGUGAGAUGGCAGCAAUUCAGUCACAUCUUCAGGCUCCACUUCUAACUGUACUUCUCUUGCUGUGUCUACCACAUCUGCAGUUACUUCCUCCACAGAAGUCUUGAGCCCCCUAAAGUCAACUAUGAGCGUUGGAAUCAACUUCUCCCAAAUCCUGUUAAUGUGGCUAUUUUGACCUUCUCCUAUGAAUCAUGAAUGUUCUUAAUGGCAUCUAGAAUGAUUAAUUCUUUCCAAAGUCUUUCAAUUUACUUUGCCCAGAUCCAUUAGAGGAAUCAAGAUCAAUGGCAGCUAUGGCCCAACAAAAUGUAUUUCUUUCUUUUUUUUUUUUUUUUUUUUUGAGAUGGAGU